UUUGAGUUGAGUAUACAUUGCACUUACUUCUAGUAAAUUUAGUAUAAAUAUAUUCACUUCACCAAUUCUUGACAUGUCCUCUCAUAUGAAGAUGUUGAGGAAUAAGGAAUUUUGGUUGUCAUUCUUUGUUCUUGGCCUUCUUGUCAUAUGUGAGUUGAUUUUUCAUUUCAUAAAUGAUUAGAGUAUCUUAAUGGACAUAUUGUAGUUUUAAACAAUAAUCUAUUAUAAAAAGUUUGAUGACACAGUGACAACAUCUUAUGUUCGUCUUUUACAAUAUCACGAUAAUUUGGAAAUUUUCGCAUUCAUCUCCAUCAAUAUUUUACAUGUUAAUUUGUUCACAUCUGUGGUAUAAUCGUUAUAUUUAAUGUUAUGAAUUCGUUUGUGCAGUUGUAAAUGGGAACAACAUUGGUGAUAAAGCUUUAAAAACUACCUUAAUAAAGACUAUUUUGGGAGAUGCAAGCCCACAACCGUCUACUAUGGAGUAUGAUAAUCCUCAUCACGAUGCCAAGCUUAGAGGUGUCUGUGUACCACUUCCAUCAUCACAUUGUAAAGGAACAGAUGGAGCUUGCUAUUGUUGUAUUGGUCCAAAUAUGAAUAUAUGCAUACGAGGUCUUAGUUUGUGUAAUACUAUAUGUUCUUAAAAUAUGAGUAGAUAGAUUUUUUAUAUGUAAGUUAGUCGUUUUCAAAAUAAAAUUAAAUGGUUUUGUGCUUACCAAAUGUCAUAAAAAAUUCAAUUCAUAUGUUCUUAAUUGAACAUAACCCUUAUUUCGUACCAAAUAAUAUUUGUUUUCUUAAAAUAUGUAAUUGAAGUUAUUUGAAUAAUAGAGAAAUAUUUAAUUUUCUUCUUGUAAGACUUACAGACAAAUUCAAUGAUAUAUUGAUUAAAAUUAAAUUAUUUAUGUAACAAUUAAUAAGUAAAACUAAAAACAAUAUAAAAUUUAUAGAAAAAUAUAUGGAUGCCGAAGAAAACUAUUUGAAAGCUAUCAUAUUAUAAAUAAGGAACAAAAUACAAAAUAAUGAAAGAUAAAUGUAUCUCCGAAUAUUGUAAAUUAUAUUUAAAACUACAUAAACCAUUACAAUAAUAAAGUGAUAGGCUAUUAAUAUUUAUAUUAUAUUUUCAUAACAUGUACAUGUGUUUAUGUGCCUUAAGGACAUUUAUUUGGAAGACAUGAUCAAGAAACUAUAAAAUUUGGUUUUAUAGAAGUUUUCAGAAAACAUAUAUAUUAGCUACUAAAGGCGUAGAAUUAAAUGAAAACAUGCCUCUAAAAGCUCGGAUAAGGCAAAAGGUACUUCUAGCAGAUUUCGUAUUAUGUGUUUUUUUAUUAAAAUUAAAAUCUAAGAGCUUGUACAUUCUAACCUAGUUUUUUUUUAUUCGAGUUUUCUUUUGUAAAUCAAAAACUUUUAAAAAUCCAAGAAAUCUCAUGCCCGAGUAUGUCCAUAAUAUUUUCAAAAUAGAUGCGUGUUACAGCGACCUAUUUUAAAUAAUUUACAUUGUUUUUUUUCCUCUAAUAUAUAAAAAAGAAAAAAGAAGACAAAAUAAGUAUUUAUGAAAUGGUAAUUUGCAUCUAAGCGACAUUGUUUUUGUCACCUUCUAAACUACUUGAAAAAAAAUUAAAAUUUUAAAGCAAAAAUAAAAUAAAUAUUCAAAAACUAACUUAAAUAUUAUUGAAUAAACAGAAACAUAUGAAUUUUAACUUUACUAUUAAUAUGUUGUAAUUAUGAAGGAUACUUAGUUAGAAUAAUAAUUUACAAAACGCUCAUUUGAGUUGAGUAUACAUUGCACUUACUUCUAGUAAAUUUAGUAUAAAUAUAUUCACUUCACCAAUUCUUGACAUGUCCUCUCAUAUGAAGAUGUUGAGGAAUAAGGAAUUUUGGUUGUCAUUCUUUGUUCUUGGCCUUCUUGUCAUAUGUGAGUUGAUUUUUCAUUUCAUAAAUGAUUAGAGUAUCUUAAUGGACAUAUUGUAGUUUUAAACAAUAAUCUAUUAUAAAAAGUUUGAUGACACAGUGACAACAUCUUAUGUUCGUCUUUUACAAUAUCACGAUAAUUUGGAAAUUUUCGCAUUCAUCUCCAUCAAUAUUUUACAUGUUAAUUUGUUCACAUCUGUGGUAUAAUCGUUAUAUUUAAUGUUAUGAAUUCGUUUGUGCAGUUGUAAAUGGGAACAACAUUGGUGAUAAAGCUUUAAAAACUACCUUAAUAAAGACUAUUUUGGGAGAUGCAAGCCCACAACCGUCUACUAUGGAGUAUGAUAAUCCUCAUCACGAUGCCAAGCUAAGAGGUGUCUGUGUACCACUUCCAUCAUCACAUUGUAAAGGAACAGAUGGAGCUUGCUAUUGUUGUAUUGGUCCAAAUAUGAAUAUAUGCAUACGAGGUCUUAGUUUGUGUAAUACUAUCUGUUCUUAAAAUAUGCAUAGAUAUAUUUUUUUUUAUAUGUAAGUUAGUCGUUUUCAAAAUAAAAUUAAAUGGUUUUGUGCUUACCAAAUGUCAUAAAAAUUUGAAUUCAUAUGUUCUUAAUUGAACAUAACCCUUAUUUUGUACCAAAUAAUAUUUGUUUUCUUAAAAUAUGUAAUUGAAGUUAUUUGAAUAAUAGAGAAAUAUUUAAUUUUCUUCUAGCAAGACUUACGAACAAAUUCAAUGAUAUAUUGAUUAAAAUUAAAUUAAUUUAUGUAACAAUUAAUAAGUAAAACUAAAAACGAUAUAAAAUUUAUAGAAAAAUAUAUG
Molecule: long non-coding RNA, 2719 nt
Filed under: Lactuca sativa (garden lettuce)
Lineage: Eukaryota; Viridiplantae; Streptophyta; Magnoliopsida; Asterales; Asteraceae
Description: long non-coding RNA (LSAT_LNC005088)
Source: RNAcentral